AAUGGUAAACUAUAAUGAGAAGAAAUCUUUUUCCCGAAAAAUAAGAAGAUCUAAAUUUUAAAUUUAUUAGAAAUUAAAUUAUAUUAAUGUAGCAAAUAUUGAUAGUUUAUUUAAAUUUAGGGGUGAAAUACUUUCAAUUCUUAUGAUAUCUGGAUUUUAGUAAAAUGUAUUUAGUACAGACUUAAGGUUGAGAUUGAAAAUGUUAAGAUUUUAAAGAAGAGUAAAAUUAUUGGAAUAUUCUAUUUUAGGAUUAACCUCCUGAUAGAAGUAAAUAUUAAAAUUAAUAUUAAAGAUUUUCUUAAUGUUAACUGCUAAAAGUUUACUUAAUGUUAGGUAGGCUUUAUAUUGUUUAAAUUAGUAGUAUUAAUAACUUUUUAUUAGGAACUCGGCAAACUAAUUAUUCGACUGUUUAACAAAAACAUAGCUUAUUGAAAUUUAUAAUAAGUGAGUCCUGCCCAGUGAGAUUUUUAACGGCCGCAGUACCCUGACUGUGCUAAGGUAGCAUAAUAAAUUGGCUUUUAAUUGGAGUCUUGAAUGAACGGGUCUACCGGAUAAUUACUGUCUCAUGAAAAUUUUUAUGAAAUUACUGAAAAGGUGAAAUUCCUUUGUUUUUUAUAUUAGACGAGAAGACCCUUAGAGUUUUUAUAAUUUGAUUUUCUUCUUUCUUUUUUGUUUGGGCGACAAGUAGCAUUACACCUACUUUAACUUAUUUGCCGAAUCUUUUAUGU
Molecule: ribosomal RNA, 728 nt
Filed under: Rhytida greenwoodi greenwoodi
Lineage: Eukaryota; Metazoa; Mollusca; Gastropoda; Stylommatophora; Rhytididae
Description: partial 16S ribosomal RNA
Rfam family: Archaeal large subunit ribosomal RNA (bases 365-607)
Source: RNAcentral